UUGAAAGACCGGUUCCCGUACGAUCACCGAAGUUAAGCAACGUCGAGUCUGGUCAAUAUCUAGAUGGAUGAUCGCUUCGGAAUACCAGGUGG
Non-coding RNA from Acanthosepion pharaonis, 92 nucleotides. The record is from the annotation of a GenBank genome assembly. NCBI's taxonomy places the organism in Eukaryota, Metazoa, Mollusca, Cephalopoda, Sepiida, Sepiidae.